This 292-nucleotide ribosomal RNA is filed under the name uncultured bacterium. Its description in RNAcentral is "partial 16S ribosomal RNA". It matches the Rfam family "Bacterial small subunit ribosomal RNA", at positions 505 to 796 of the family's 1533-position model. The record is from RNAcentral.
GUGUCAGCCGCCGCGGUAAUACAGAGGGUGCAAGCGUUAAUCGGAAUUACUGGGCGUAAAGCGUGCGUAGACGGUUAUGUAAGUUAGGUGUGAAAGCCCCGGGCUCAACCUGGGAAUUGCAUUUAAGACUGCAUAGCUAGGGUGCGGAAGAGGGAAGCGGAAUUUCCGGUGUAGCGGUGAAAUGCGUAGAUAUCGGAAGGAACAUCAGUGGCGAAAGCGGCUUCCUGGUCCAGCACCGACGUUCAGGCACGAAAGCGUGGGGAGCAAACAGGAUUAGAUACCCCGGUAGUCC